Molecule: non-coding RNA, 689 nt
Organism: Labrus bergylta (ballan wrasse)
Lineage: Eukaryota; Metazoa; Chordata; Actinopteri; Labriformes; Labridae
Source: RefSeq, a predicted model, not a curated record
CCACGGUGGCCCUGAAAGAUUGGGGGGAAAAAACUCUGAUCACAGGAAGACUUCUAGGAACUGUAGUUCUUGUGAUGUUCAUGAAAUGUUUAGAACUCCACAAAACUUGAAACAUUCUGCUGACAGAUGAAUAUUGAACUCACCAGUAGUGGGAUCAGGUGUGCAGGAGUUGGACUGCAGCUGCAAAUCAUUUCCAAACAUUGAGCUCCUACUCCUCCGCUCUGCCAGAUCCUAUUCUCUGCUCAACUCCAUUCCACUACUUCAUCUACUUGAUUCCACCUGUAUCAGCACAUAUCUCUGGACGUGAACUAACCAGCACGCCCCCUGCAAACUCGCCUGCCUUACUCUGCUCCAUUCCCACAAAGUGCUGUCAUGAUUUAGUCAGGUUUUGUUUUAUUUAAAUCUUCUUGUUGUAGUUUUUCUUAUUGUAUUCUUCCCUAGUGUUGCUUGUGUCCAUUGUGUUUCUUUCAAUGUUUCACUUUAAUAAUCACUUUAUCUUGCAAUUCUCUGCACAUACUGUCUCAAUUCCCUGCAGUUUACAUCAUCAUUCAUUUUGUACUUGUGUAUAUACCCCCUUUCCUUAUUUAUCUAAUCUAUUCUGUUUAAUGUGUAUUUUGACCUUACUUGUCUGUGCUGCUAUGAUGCCUGAAUUUCCCCUCUGGGGAUCAAUGAAGUCCUGUCCUAUCCUG